UACAGAGGGUGCAAGCGUUAAUCGGAUUUACUGGGCGUAAAGCGUGCGUAGGUGGUUUCGUAAGUCGGAUGUGAAAGCCCCGGGCUCAACCUGGGAACUGCAUUCGAUACUGCGAGACUCGAGUUUGGUAGAGGGUGGCGGAAUUCCCGGUGUAGCGGUGAAAUGCGUAGAUAUCGGGAGGAACAUCAAUGGCGAAGGCAGCCACCUGGGCCUGAACUGACACUGAGGCACGAAAGCGUGGGUAGCAAACAGG
RNAcentral lists this ribosomal RNA (253 nucleotides) under uncultured prokaryote. RNAcentral's name for it is "partial 16S ribosomal RNA". It matches the Rfam family "Bacterial small subunit ribosomal RNA", at positions 524 to 776 of the family's 1533-position model. The record is from RNAcentral.